This 323-nucleotide unclassified non-coding RNA is filed under the name Trichoderma viride. RNAcentral describes it as "partial contains 18S rRNA, ITS1, 5.8S rRNA, ITS2 and 28S rRNA". The stretch from base 126 to 279 matches the Rfam family "5.8S ribosomal RNA". The record is from RNAcentral. Lineage: Eukaryota; Fungi; Ascomycota; Sordariomycetes; Hypocreales; Hypocreaceae.
CGCCCGCCGGAGGACCAACUCCAAACUCUUUUUUUCUCUCCGUCGCGGCUCCCGUCGCGGCUCUGUUUUAUUUUUGCUCUGAGCCUUUCUCGGCGACCCUAGCGGGCGUCUCGAAAAUGAAUCAAAACUUUCAACAACGGAUCUCUUGGUUCUGGCAUCGAUGAAGAACGCAGCGAAAUGCGAUAAGUAAUGUGAAUUGCAGAAUUCAGUGAAUCAUCGAAUCUUUGAACGCACAUUGCGCCCGCCAGUAUUCUGGCGGGCAUGCCUGUCCGAGCGUCAUUUCAACCCUCGAACCCCUCCGGGGGGUCGGCGUUGGGGAUCGG